Molecule: ribosomal RNA, 250 nt
Filed under: uncultured bacterium
Lineage: Bacteria
Description: partial 16S ribosomal RNA
Rfam family: Bacterial small subunit ribosomal RNA
Source: RNAcentral
UACGGGGGGGGCUAGCGUUGUCCGGAAUUAUUGGGCGUAAAGGGCGCGUAGGCGGAAUGGUAAGUCAGUGGUGAAAUCUCGAGGCUUAACUUCGAGUCUGCCUCUGAAACUGCUGUUCUUGAGUGCGGAAGAGGAAAGCGGAAUUCCCGGUGUAGCGGUGAAAUGCGUAGAUAUCGGGAAGAACACCAGUAGCGAAGGCGGCUUUCUGGUCCGUCACUGACGCUGAGGCGCGAAAGCGUGGGUAGCAAAC